UGUUGUUUGAACAUCGGGUGUCGUUGC
This 27-nucleotide small RNA is filed under the name Bombyx mori (domestic silkworm). RNAcentral's name for it is "piRNA piR-bmo-2156281". The record is from RNAcentral. Lineage: Eukaryota; Metazoa; Arthropoda; Insecta; Lepidoptera; Bombycidae.